This 1285-nucleotide long non-coding RNA is filed under the name Lepidothrix coronata (blue-crowned manakin). Its description in RNAcentral is "lncRNA (ENSLCOG00000014818.1)". Lineage: Eukaryota; Metazoa; Chordata; Aves; Passeriformes; Pipridae. The record is from RNAcentral.
GUACAGACUUCUCAGGAUUUUGCCUGCUAUCCCAGACUAACACUUCAGAAGUGCCACCAAGAAAACUUCUCUGCAAAUCUCUUUCUAUUUCAAAACUUCUUAACUGAAUAAUGUGAGUGGCCAGAUACAUUCCUGCCUGUUGAAGCUCACAAUAGAAGAAUGUUCAAAAGGAAAAGGAAAAUAUUUGGAAAGUAUUUUUUUUACUAUCACGCAGACCUGGAAAUUGUAUCAGCUGAGGAGAUACACCAGUUGUUCCUUCAGCUACAUUUUUUGUGCUGGCAACCUGCCCUGCAAUUUCCAGGGACAGCAAACCUGUGAGACAGGUGCACUCACUGUGUGACUGAGGAUGCUCUCCAGCCCUGCCGUGCCAGGGGAGCGGGGCCGUGUGUGGGGUCUGCUGUUUUCUAGUUGGAGUGAUUUUUAUAGCCUGUAUUAUAAGGAAACCCACACGUGAGGAAAGGAAGAAGGAAUUAAAUGGAAAACAAACCACAGGCCCAGCCAUUAAUCCUUCUGGGGAAAGAAGGGCCUGGCCUGGAUUCUUCAGCAUCCAACCCACUGUGGGACACACCAGGUGAAAGUCGUCAACAGUCUGAGCUGAGUCUCUGGUCAGCCAUCGUUCUGGGGGAUCUGCUGCUGCUCUCCCACUGGAGCCUGUUCCUUUGUGCUCUUUCCAUGAGGAGCAGCCAAAAUCAUGAAUUAAACAUUGCUGAUAUUAAAGAGGACUCCUGGCAUCUGCCCCAAAUGGAGAAAUCAACGUGUCAUUCAUUAAAGAUAUCCACACUUGUACAGGGAACACGUGUUUGCCAGAUGGUGCCAGUUCAGGAUUCCCAGAGGGAGCAGGAGAGGUCCAUCCCUGCUGAAUGCCAGAGCCACCCCAGUCCCAGGGUCCCCCAAGGAUCUUCACUCCUCUCCCUGCAGCCUGGCAGAGAUGCCCCUGGGCCUCUCCCAGCUGAAGCUGUGUUGUGACCCCAGACUGCCAAGGAAAGUACAAAAUUGAUGUAUCCUGGGGGAGGGAGGCAGGGGUGUGGGCUGAGAUCUGGUGUCUCAAGACCAUUCUUUAGACAGUGCUGAUCCAGACUGUCUUAUUCCCAGCAUUUUUCAAAUUGUGUUAUUUCCUACAGUUUGCAACUACACACAGUAGUCAGAGGUUAUGACACGUGGCUGACUUUAAAGGACACUGUCUGUAACAAGUGCUAUGUACAUAUUCUAUAAAUGUUGUUAUACCCUGUAUUUUAUAGCUUUAGACUGCAAUAAAUGGGGACAAACUAUGUGCUUGUAGUGUGAA